RNAcentral lists this ribosomal RNA (505 nucleotides) under uncultured bacterium. RNAcentral's name for it is "partial 16S ribosomal RNA". It matches the Rfam family "Bacterial small subunit ribosomal RNA", at positions 28 to 507 of the family's 1533-position model. The record is from RNAcentral.
GACGAACGCUGGCGGCGUGCCUAAUACAUGCAAGUAGAACGCACAGUUUAUACCGUAGCUUGCUACACCAUAGACUGUGAGUUGCGAACGGGUGAGUAGCGCGUAGGUAACCUGCCUGGUAGCGGGGGAUAACUAUUGGAAACGAUAGCUAAUACCGCAUAAUAUUAAUUAUUGCAUGAUAAUUAAUGGUAAGGUGCAAUUGUACCACUACCAGAUGGACCUGGGUUGUAUUAGCUAGUAGGUGAGGUAACGGAUCAACUAGGCGAAGAUACAUAGCCGACCUUGAGAGGUGGACCGGCCACAUGGGAAUUGGACACGGCCCAAGCUCCUACCGGGAGGAAGAGUAGGGGAUCUUUCGGAAUGGGAGGAAGUCCGACCGGAGCACGCCGGGGGGAUGGAGGAGGUUUUCGGGUCGUAAAACUCUGUUUAAAGGGAAGGACGGGUGUGAGAGUGAAAAGUUCACACAGUGACGGUAACUUACCAGAAAGGGACGGCUAACUACGUG